Molecule: non-coding RNA, 1026 nt
Organism: Heterocephalus glaber (naked mole-rat)
Lineage: Eukaryota; Metazoa; Chordata; Mammalia; Rodentia; Bathyergidae
Source: RefSeq, a predicted model, not a curated record
CUAGGUACGUGGUUCCUCCAUUCAAUCAGACUCAGGCGGCUCGCACACCCAAAGCUGCCGUUUGUGGGGUGCAGUGAAGGGUGGUGCUGGUGGACGUGGGGGACUCAGUGGAGGCUGAAGCGCGGAUGAAGGCAGCGGCAGGGCCAAGAUGCCGACCAGGAUCUGAGACAGACUCGUCAUCUGCCUGUGACGCCCUCCACACUCCGCUUCGGUCCAUCUGGCUUCUUAGAGCCUCCCCCAACUGCCUUCCAGCCGGGACGGGCCAGCACACCCAAUGAAAGGCUACUAAGGGCGGAGAGAACACAUGUGAGGAACCGAACUCAGCAUGUCCCGGAAGUUCUGAUCCAGCUGCAGGGACCCCCAGGGACCCCCCCCCCUUUCGGGGCUUAGACUGCUCCUCCUCUUCCUUCUGUGCUCGAGGUCCCUGGGGAGAGGCCUUUCCAUGGCCCCUGGAGAAACUGGUAAAGGCCAUACGUCACAGCCUCAGCCUAGGCAGGGGCCAUUUCUCUUCACAAUGUCCCCUCACAGUAGGGACCAUCAGGCCCACCAUGGAGGAGAGAAGAGAUGGCACGGAGAUAGAGACCACUAGAAAUGGGAGAGACGAGGAGAGUGACCAGCUUCACUGUGCCUCAUGAGCAUUCCACACAAACUCUGUGAGCCUCCCAGCUGUGUAGACGGAGAAGCGGUGUGGGUCAUGAACUGGCCAUCUAGAGUUCUGCUGAGUGUCCUGGUGGAAUCUCAACCUCAGCUCUGACGAAGGCGGGCAUGGCAGCAGAAGACACCCCUGUACCCUGCUGUGCUCCAAAGAGUACAAUCUUGGGGCUCAGGCGGGACUCAGUGUCUGAUGCAUGUGCCAAAGGGCAGCAAUCACCCCCUGCCCCGUCUCAGGGGCACCCGUGCCCAGUGGAUUCUGCUUGCGAAGUUAGCCAUCAACCAGAAUGAUGUCUUUAUUAUACUCAGCAUAUUCAUCCAACCAAAAAAUCAAUUUAUGGCAGCUAUUAUUAAAGAUACUGUAUUAAAUAUACU